Molecule: long non-coding RNA, 1399 nt
Organism: Myotis lucifugus (little brown bat)
Lineage: Eukaryota; Metazoa; Chordata; Mammalia; Chiroptera; Vespertilionidae
Exons: 3
Source: RefSeq, a predicted model, not a curated record
CAGGGACAUGUUGUCUUAACAGAUUUUGGGCUUUGUAAAGAAGGAAUUGCUAUUUCUGAUACCACAACGACAUUUUGUGGAACACCAGAGUACCUAGCACCUGAAGUGAUCAGAAAACAGCCCUAUGACAAUACUGUAGAUUGGUGGUGCCUUGGUGCUGUACUUUAUGAAAUGCUGUAUGGGUUGCCUCCUUUUUAUUGCCGAGAUGUUGCUGAAAUGUAUGACAACAUUCUGCACAAGCCCCUAAAUCUGAGGCCAGGAGUGAGCCUCACAGCCUGGUCCAUUCUGGAAGAACUCCUAGAAAAAGACAGGCAAAAUCGGCUCGGUGCCAAAGAAGACUUUGUAUGUAUAUCUCUCCCACUCUGUUUAAGCUUAUUUAUCCUUUGAAGAUAAAGCCUUAUUUUAUGUGGUAUUUGAUGGGAUGAAUACAGCUCUUAAAGAAGAGCACCAUGAAAACGCGUAACUUGUCCCAACAACUUUCACCAGUGUUUAUACGUACAGAACUAUACAGGGUUUGAGCACUUGCAUCCUUUCAGUUGAUCUCUGUAACAGUACCAUCCUCUCCUCUUCGUCUGUCACAUCCAGCUUUCACACUCUUAUUAUUUAUUUGAUUUUUAUUUAUUAAAAUUUUUCUCCUCGCCCUUCUUUUUUAAAAAUUUUUGAUUACCUGAACUUUUAGAUCAUGUUAUUUAACAAGAAUCUAAGUCCUUCCUGACCACAUGAGGCGGUGCAAUUUAUCUUGAACCAACAUGAAAUCACUUUUUUCCCCCUGAGAAUUUGGUGAUAACCUCCUUGAGAUAGUUAUGGAGUCUGUGGGUUUGGUUUUUGUUUUGUUUUUUUAAGCAGGGUAAUUAGAUUGCUAGUGUAACUUAUCUUAGUGUGUCAGUAUUCAGGAACUGUUGAGCAAUAAGAACUUUUAAGUUCAUUUAAAUUUCUCAGAAAUUCUUUGGGGCUGUUGACCAGUUUGAACGUGAGCUGUGAAUAACAAACUUGUCUGCUACUGACCUUCUCCUCCUACACGUCCCAGUUCGGCAGAUGGCUCUGUCAACAGUUCUCUAUCCAGCUUUGAUUCCCGUCUGUUGUUUCAGUCAGUCUUGCUAAUACUUCACACCUCCGUGCCCCGUGGUCCUUUUAUUGAAUUCAGAAAUCGCAACCUGGAUGAAUUCAACGGUCAUCUCUGGGCUGCUGUUUGUUGGUGGAGAAAGUUUCACAACUGGGCUAAACUUCCAAUAUGUGUAUGUGUGUGUGUGUGUAUCUACUACACUAACAAGAAAUCUUUGGACACCAGUAAGGUGACACAGUUUUUAAGUAAGUGUUUAUAAUGAGAUGUUUAUAGCCACUCACGAGGCCUUUUUGGUCUUCUGGGGUGGAGACGUGGAGGAGGAGAUGUCUGUGAUUC